UCCCUGGUAGCUCAGUGGUGGUAAAGAAUCUGCCUGCAACGCAGAGGACCCAGGUUCAGUUCCUGGGUGGGAAA
RNAcentral lists this transfer RNA (74 nucleotides) under Ovis aries (sheep). It matches the Rfam family "tRNA". From Rfam's summary of the family: Transfer RNA (tRNA) molecules are approximately 80 nucleotides in length. Their secondary structure includes four short double-helical elements and three loops (D, anti-codon, and T loops). Further hydrogen bonds mediate the characteristic L-shaped molecular structure. tRNAs have two regions of fundamental functional importance: the anti-codon, which is responsible for specific mRNA codon recognition, and the 3' end, to which the tRNAs corresponding amino acid is attached (by aminoacyl-tRNA synthetases). tRNAs cope with the degeneracy of the genetic code in two manners: having more than one tRNA (with a specific anti-codon) for a particular amino acid; and 'wobble' base-pairing, i.e. permitting non-standard base-pairing at the 3rd anti-codon position. The record is from Rfam by way of RNAcentral. Lineage: Eukaryota; Metazoa; Chordata; Mammalia; Artiodactyla; Bovidae.